This 253-nucleotide ribosomal RNA is filed under the name uncultured bacterium. RNAcentral's name for it is "partial 16S ribosomal RNA". It matches the Rfam family "Bacterial small subunit ribosomal RNA", at positions 524 to 776 of the family's 1533-position model. The record is from RNAcentral.
UACGUAGGUGGCAAGCGUUGUCCGGAUUUACUGGGCGUAAAGAGCGCGCAGGCGGUCGUGCAAGUCGCGUGUGAGAGCCCCCGGCUCAACUGGGGAGGGUCACGCGAUACUGCUCGACUUGAAGGCAGGAGAGGGAAGUGGAAUUCCCGGUGUAGUGGUGAAAUGCGUAGAUAUCGGAAGGAACACCAGUGGCGAAAGCGGCUUCCUGGUCCAGCACCGACGUUCAGGCACGAAAGCGUGGGGAGCAAACAGG